RNAcentral lists this transfer RNA (69 nucleotides) under Ictidomys tridecemlineatus (thirteen-lined ground squirrel). Its description in RNAcentral is "Spermophilus tridecemlineatus (thirteen-lined ground squirrel) tRNA". It matches the Rfam family "tRNA". From Rfam's summary of the family: Transfer RNA (tRNA) molecules are approximately 80 nucleotides in length. Their secondary structure includes four short double-helical elements and three loops (D, anti-codon, and T loops). The record is from Rfam by way of RNAcentral. Lineage: Eukaryota; Metazoa; Chordata; Mammalia; Rodentia; Sciuridae.
GGGACUGUGGCUCAGUGGCAGAGUGCUUGCCUUGCAUGUAUGAGGUACUAGGUUUGAUCCUCAGUACCA